CAUUAAAAACCCUUAAACAGGAGCCUCCAUCUUGAGGCCAACUUGGAGACUGGGGGAGGAGGGUCAACUCGGAGAGUACGGGAGUCCUUCACACUUACCCCACACCUUGCCGUGCAUAUCGCUUCCAUUCGACCGUUCCUCUUUAUAACAAAGAUAAGGAGGUUCCUGAUAGUCAUGAGGUGCAGAUGUCACCAUGAAGGAUUUUGGUGCUUUUCAAGAUAUAAGGAGAAACAAGAAUUGGCUCAUAAAAUCAGCUCCAAAAAUGUCUAACUAUCUUAAGACCUGUUCUGGCAGUUUUUCCCAGAGCACUGAAAGCCUCCUUUCUGCUCUCCACCCUGAACUCCUUUCAGGAGGUGUUGAAAAUCAGCAGCAGCACAUGAUUUAAUCCUUGUAGAGGUAGAAGGCAAAUGCCAACUUGUAGUUGACAAGUGUUUCCCUGAUAGUAGGCAAUCAAUAAAUAUUUGAAUAUUUUUUAAAUAAACCAAACAUUUGGGUAAAGCUGUGAGCCAGUAGAACACACAAUUAAAUGAAUGAAAUUGCUUUGGUAAAAUAGGAGGCAGCCAUGAGUCAGUGAUGAGAUGUGCAUUAGCUCGUGGAGUGGUCCAGGCUGGAGAGCUCCCGCUUGCUGGAAUGCCCACUCUUCUGACUUAGAGCUGUCCAGUGACGAUUUGUUAUUUCAGUGCAUCAUGGCAGUUGGUUCAUCAUAUCCAAUGUGAAAUUACACAUCUAUCCAUCACGUUGGAACGGUUGCUGAAAGUUUUAUAUGGACUAACAGAAUUUUAAGGCCUGAAGAGUAUUUUGAAUCACUCCCAUGAUUAUGAUGGAUUACAAGUCAACAGGAAUUCUUCAGAUAUGACUAUGCCCCUAAUCAGUUGAUUAUGAAUUGACUAAGAGAUUUUGCUGAGUGGACCUGACCUAAUCAAGUAGCCCUUAAGAGAGAAAAGAUACAGCUCUUAUCUGGAAGUAUCUCUCCUGGUGGCUUGGAAGAAAGCAAACAGCUAUGCUGUGAACUGCCUAUGGUUGGGAGCUGGGUCUGGGGAUAUGUGGCUAGGACCUGAGAGUGUUCCCUAGGAGCUGUGAGUAAACCCUGUCUAGCAGCCAGCAAGAAAAGGGGGACUUCAGUCCUAUAGCCCAAAGGAUCUGAAUUUGUCAACAACCCUAAUAAACUUAGAAAAAACCCUCUGAGCUCUAGACGAGAAUAUGUUCCCACCACCACCUUGACCUCAGCCUUGUGAGAUCCUGAUCAGAGAAACCAGUUAGGCCAUGCCUAGACUUCUGCCCUACAAAAAAUGUGGGGCAAUAAAUGGGUGUUGUUUUUUUCU
Molecule: long non-coding RNA, 1322 nt
Organism: Bubalus bubalis (water buffalo)
Lineage: Eukaryota; Metazoa; Chordata; Mammalia; Artiodactyla; Bovidae
Exons: 3
Source: RefSeq, a predicted model, not a curated record